This is a long non-coding RNA of Xiphophorus hellerii (green swordtail), 707 nucleotides long. RefSeq lists it as uncharacterized. The transcript has 3 exons. NCBI's taxonomy places the organism in Eukaryota, Metazoa, Chordata, Actinopteri, Cyprinodontiformes, Poeciliidae. The record is from RefSeq and is a predicted model, not a curated record.
GUCUGCUCUUUUCGUCUCCGUGGAUUCAGCGGGGAGUUUUGGAGUGAGCGCCGCGUCAGGUCAGGGGGGUUGAGCGUGUGUUUCCCUUUUCUCUGCCCAUGUGGAGAAUCUCUGGUCGGAGGCGACUCUGUAAAAAAUACACCAUAAUGAUGUUUUGAGAGCGCGCGCGCGGGGUCCUCCCACAGCAGCACAGAGGAGCACGCGGCACGGAGGAGCGCUGAAUGACAGAUUGAGAUCAUGGAAAUUACAGACAAAAGGAAAAUAUUUUGUAAUUAAACCUCCAGGACCUUCGGGAGAAUUAAGCGAAACCCAAACUCCUUGUUCUGAACGAAAACCUUCUGUAUGGCCAAGAAACAUGAGUUUGCUCCCUCAAGGUUGGGACAAACCUGGUGGCGCGUCUACAAAAUGCGACAACAUAGAAGCUGCAUGUCCUCAUACAGUUUAGCAAAAAUGCUAAACUGUUGAUAAAAAAAAAGUAUUUUUUGUUUAAUGGCUGAAAUUUUUACUUGUAGUUUGCUUUAAAACCCGACUUCUUACAUGAAAUGUAAAAUGUGUAGUAACAGAUACUUCUGGAGUUGUAGCCAAAUAAUGAGUUGAAGUGAUUUCAGUAUAUACUUUUGAAGCAACUUACUUAUGUUUUGUAACUUUUGUAAAUGAAUUCUACUGGCUCUAUAUCACGUGGAAAUAAAAGAAGCUUUAAAUUCAGA